RNAcentral lists this long non-coding RNA (1197 nucleotides) under Pogona vitticeps (central bearded dragon). Its description in RNAcentral is "lncRNA (ENSPVIG00000022734.1)". The record is from RNAcentral. Lineage: Eukaryota; Metazoa; Chordata; Lepidosauria; Squamata; Agamidae.
UAAUCCCGUGACAGCCCCCAACAAACAAGACAGCAUCUCAAAACCAUUCCGGGAAAUUCUUUUAUUGGUUUCGGAAAAGAGGCUAAAUGGGUAUCCUCAGUGGAGACAGUGGUUCAGCUCCAGCAGGACGCCUGCCUUCUGGUCCCUCGCAUCCCCUUGGGGAAGAGGAAGCUUCAGGCCCUGCAAGAGAGAGAAAAAAACAACUAAGGGAUGAGCGUGUCCACUGCCAUCAACCGGCUUCAACCCAGGCGUAUCCACCGACCAAUGUUCUGGCAACUUCAUCCCGAAGUUCCACCUGCCAACAUCCACUGGCCUCCACCAGGAAUAUCCACCCAUUCAUCUCUUCCACUCCGCUUCUGAAGCCAGCUCCAGAAUGCUUGGGUCACACUCAUGUACCAGUGACAUCCACACAGAACACCAGCCAGCCCAUUCACACAAACAUUCACACACACAUACCAGCCACCCCUGACACACACACACCUUCAUUCCAAAAGCCAUUCACACACACACACCUGGAUUUCCAUCCACCAAUAUCCACCAAGCUUCCACUAGCUGGUUUCAGGAGGCUAACGUCCACCGCCAGCUUCACCCGCCAACCUCUGUCGGCCUCCGCCUUGCGGCCUCAGCCAGCUUCCACAGGGAGAUUCCACCAGCUUCUGCCUGCCAACGUCCACCGACUUCCCCCCCGGUCCAUCGCCGACAUCAGCCAGCUUCAAGCCACGGAUCUCCGCCAUCCUCAAGCUGUUAACCUCCAAGCCCACUUAGCAAGUUAUUCUGCUUUCACAAGAGAACUGGCCUUGGGCAGAAGGGCUGGGUCCCCUGCAAAAGUUGCCGCUCUCUCUGGCGGACUGCCCUCUGGCCACUGGCCUCCCUUCUAGUCUCCUGCCCUGCCCAGCAAGCCCCCUUUUAUCUGCCAGCAGAGAGGUGGGGCCCCUAUGAGGUCACAAAGACCCAGGGGGAAAGGGGUUGGGUUGCCAAGGCAGCAGCAGCAGCACCCUCGGGAUUGGCUGAGUCCUGAAGAUGAUGUCAACAGUCCCUCUGAUCAUGUGAUUCACCCACAAAAGCUUGCAUGUUGCCUGAUUGUUUUAAAUAUCUUUUUUAUUAGUGGCCUAUAAAUGUAUCCCCUGUCACCAUUCCCUCUGAUUGUUAAAUCUCCUGGCCUUCUGACAGGAUUCUAUUCUGUAUUCAUAUACAUAU